UAGGGAAUUUUUCACAAUGAGCGAAAGCUUGAUGGAGCAAUGCCGCGUGAACGAUGAAGGUCUUUAAGAUUGUAAAGUUCUUUUAUUUGGGAAGAAUGACUUUAGCAGGUAAUGGCUAGAGUUUGACUGUACCAUUUUGAAUAAGUGACGACUAACUAUGUGCCAGCAGUCGCGGUAAUACAUAGGUCGCAAGCGUUAUCCGGAUUUAUUGGGCGUAAAGCAAGCGCAGGCGGAUUGAAAAGUCUGGUGUUAAAGGCAGCUGCUUAACAGUUGUAUGCAUUGGAAACUAUUAAUCUAGAGUGUGGUAGGGAGUUUUGGAAUUUCAUGUGGAGCGGUGAAAUGCGUAGAUAUAUGAAGGAACACCAGUGGCGAAGGCGAAAACUUAGGCCAUUACUGACGCUUAGGCUUGAAAGUGUGGGGAGCAAAUAGGAUUAGAUACCCUAGUAGUCCACACCGUGAACGAUAGAUACUAGCUGUCGGGGCGAUCCCCUCGGUAGUGAAGUUAACACAUUAAGUAUCUCGCCUGGGUAGUACAUUCGCAAGAAUG
This 547-nucleotide ribosomal RNA is filed under the name uncultured bacterium. RNAcentral describes it as "bacterial SSU rRNA". It matches the Rfam family "Bacterial small subunit ribosomal RNA", at positions 355 to 896 of the family's 1533-position model. The record is from RNAcentral.